GGCCAGGUAGCUCAGUUUGUUAGAGCUUUGUCCUGAUAUGCCAAGGUUGCGGGUUCAAUCCCCGGUCAGGACA
This 73-nucleotide transfer RNA is filed under the name Myotis davidii. It matches the Rfam family "tRNA". Rfam says of the family: Transfer RNA (tRNA) molecules are approximately 80 nucleotides in length. Their secondary structure includes four short double-helical elements and three loops (D, anti-codon, and T loops). The record is from Rfam by way of RNAcentral. Lineage: Eukaryota; Metazoa; Chordata; Mammalia; Chiroptera; Vespertilionidae.